GACGAACGCUGGCGGCGUGCCUAAUACAUGCAAGUUGAGCGCUGAAGGUUGGUACUUGUACCAACUGGAUGAGCAGCGAACGGGUGAGUAACGCGUGGUGAAUCUGCCUUUGAGCGGGGGACAACAUUUGGAAACGAAUGCUAAUACCGCAUAAAAACUUUAAACACAAGUUUUAAGUUUGAAAGAUGCAAUUGCAUCACUCAAAGAUGAUCCCGCGUUGUAUUAGCUAGUUGGUGAGGUAAAGGCUCACCAAGGCGAUGAUACAUAGCCGACCUGAGAGGGUGAUCGGACACAAUGGGACUGAGACACGGAACAAACGCCUACGGGAGGCAGCAGAAGGGAAUAUUCGGCAAUGGACGAAAGUCUGACCGAGCAACGCCGCGUGAGUGAAGAAGGUUGUCGGAUCGUAAAACUCUGUUGGUAGAGAAGAACGUUGGUGAGAGUGGAAAGCUCAUCAAGUGACGGUAACUACCCAGAAAGGGAAGGCUAACUACGUG
This 497-nucleotide ribosomal RNA is filed under the name uncultured bacterium. Its description in RNAcentral is "partial 16S ribosomal RNA". It matches the Rfam family "Bacterial small subunit ribosomal RNA", at positions 28 to 507 of the family's 1533-position model. The record is from RNAcentral.